CCUACGUGGGGCUGCAGUGAGGAAUAUUGGUCAAUGGACGAGAGUCUGAACCAGCCAAGUAGCGUGAAGGAUGACUGCCCUAUGGGUUGUAAACUUCUUUUAUAUGGGAAUAAAAUGUUCCACGUGUGGGAUUUUGUAUGUACCAUAUGAAUAAGGAUCGGCUAACUCCGUGCCAGCAGCCGCGGUAAUACGGAGGAUCCGAGCAUUAUCCGGAUUUAGUGGGGUUCAAGGGAGCGUAGGUGGAUUGUUAAGUCAGUUGUGAAAGUUUGCGGCGUAACCGUAAAAUUGCAGUUGAAACUGGCAGUCUUGAGUUCAGUAGAGGUGGGCGGAAUUCGUGGUGUAGCGGUGAAAUGCUUAGAUAUCACGAAGAACUCCGAUUGCGAAGGCAGCUCACUGGACUGCAACUGACACUGAGGCUCGAAAGUGUGGGUAUCAAACAGGAUUAGAUACCCUAGUAGUC
This 460-nucleotide ribosomal RNA is filed under the name uncultured bacterium. RNAcentral's name for it is "partial 16S ribosomal RNA". It matches the Rfam family "Bacterial small subunit ribosomal RNA", at positions 338 to 795 of the family's 1533-position model. The record is from RNAcentral.